RNAcentral lists this ribosomal RNA (3075 nucleotides) under Acidimicrobiales bacterium. RNAcentral describes it as "23S ribosomal RNA". It matches the Rfam family "Bacterial large subunit ribosomal RNA". The record is from RNAcentral. Lineage: Bacteria; Bacillati; Actinomycetota; Acidimicrobiia; Acidimicrobiales.
UUCCAAGCUACUAAGAGCCAACGGUGAAUGCCUUGGCGACUACUACCGAAGAAGGACGUGGGUGGCUGCGAAAAGCCACGGUGAGCUGUCUACCGAGCUUUGACCCGUGGAUGUCCGAAUGGGGAAACCCUGCACUCGUAAUGGGGUGUAACUCCCGCCUGAACACAUAGGGCGGGUAGAGGGAACUGGGUGAACUGAAACAUCUAAGUAACCCAAGGAAAAGAAAGCAACAGCGACUCCCUGAGUAGCGGCGAGCGAAAUGGGAUGAGCCUAAACCGACCUGGUGCCAAGCCUGACGGCGUUGCCAGAUCGGGGUCGUGGGACCAAAUGGGAGGGGCGUCAGACCUUCCACAGAGUUAUAAAUCUGUCAGCUAGCAGAAGUGUCCUGGAAAGACACGCCAUAGCGGGUAAUAGCCCCGUAUGCGAAAGCUGAGCAGACUCUGAUUUGUGCUCCCGAGUAACACCGGAUCCGGGAAAGCCGGUGUGAAUCUGCGAGGACCACCUCGUAAGGCUAAGUAUACGUAGUCGACCGAUAGUGAACUAGUACCGUGAGGGAAAGGUGAAAAGUACCCCGGGAGGGGAGUGAAAUAGUACCUGAAACCGUUGGUUUACAAUCAGUCAAAGCGUCGUCUGGAACUUGUUCCAGGCCGCGAUGGCGUGCCUUUUGAAGAAUGAGCCUACGAGUUACGGUGUGUGGCAAGGUUAACCCGUGAGGGGAAGCCGGAGCGAAAGCGAGUCUGAACAGGGCGUUCAGUCGCAUGCUGUAGACCCGAAGCCGAGUGAUCUAUCCAUGGGCAGUGUGAAGCGGGGGUAAGACCCCGUGGAGGCGCGAACCGACCUAGGUUGAAAACUGGGCGGAUGACCUGUGGAUAGGGGUGAAAGGCCAAUCAAACUCGGUGAUAGCUGGUUCUCCGCGAAAUGCAUUUAGGUGCAGCGUCGCAUGUUCAGUCAUGGAGGUAGAGCACUGGAUGGGUUAGGGGGCCUACAAGCUUACCAACCCCAGCCAAACUCCGAAUGCCAUGACUCCAGAGUGCGGCAGUGAGUCCUCGGGGGAUGAGCUUCGAUGGACGAAAGGGAAACAGCCCAGACCGCCGACUAAGGCCCCAAAGUUCUGACUAAGUGGUAAACGAAGUGGGAUUGCACAGACAGCCAGGAUGUUGGCUUAGAAGCAGCCAUCAUUAAAAGAGUGCGUAAUAGCUCACUGGUCGAGUGAUCCCGCGCGGAAAAUGUAACGGGGCUCAAGUCAGACGCCGAAGUCGCGGAUUUCUGCAUAGCAGGAGUGGUAGCGGAGCGUCGAGCCUGGAAUGAAGCGGCGGUGUGAACCGACGUGGACCGGGUUCGAGUGAGAAUGUAGGCAUGAGUAGCGAGAGAGGGGUGAGAAACCCCUCCGCCGGAAGUCCAAGGGUUCCUGGGGAAGGCUAAUCCUCCCAGGGUGAGUCGGGAGCUAAGGCGAGGCCGAGAGGCGUAGUCGAUGCACAACCGGUUGAUAUUCCGGUACCACAGGUUGCGCGACAAACGCUGACCUGCAGUUGCUAAGGGGAUGGUUGGUCCUUCGGGAUCAACAGGAACUAACCCACUGCGGCGAAGCGAGUGAUGCGGGGACGCAGGAAGGUAGAUGAUCCCAGGCGAUGGUUGUCCUGGGGCAAGCGUGUAGGUCGAGGCGUAGGUAAGUCCGCUCCUCAUAAAGACUGAGACGUAACGCCGAGCCGUUUAAGGCGAAGUCAUUGAUCCUAUGCUGCCAAGAAAAGCCGCUAGCGAGUGCAACAAGUGCCCGUACCCCAAACCAACUCAGGUGGACAGGUAGAGAAUACCAAGGCGAUUGGGAGAACUAUGGUUAAGGAACUCGGCAAAAUACAUCCGUAACUUCGGGAGAAGGAUGACCGCAUCAGGGUAAAAGAACUUAGCGUUCUUAGCUCGAAGCGGUGGCACAGACCAGGGGAAAGCGACUGUUUACUAAAAACACAGCAGCGUGCUAAGUCCUAAGACGACGUAUACGCUGUGACGCCUGCCCGGUGCCGGAAGGUUACGGGGAAGGGUUAGCUCUAGGGCGAAGCUCUGAACCUAAGCCCCGGUAAACGGCGGCCGUAACUAUAACGGUCCUAAGGUAGCGAAAUUCCUUGUCGGGUAAGUUCCGACCUGCACGAAUGGCGUAACGACUUUCCUACUGUCUCAACCAUAGACCCAGCGAAAUUGAAGUACGAGUAAAGAUGCUCGUUAGCUGCAGAAGGACGGAAAGACCCCGUGGACCUUUACUACAGCUUGGUAUUGGUAUUUGUUAUGCGUUGUGUAGGAUAGGUGGGAGACUUGGAAGCGUCGGCGCUAGCCGGUGUGGAGUCAACCUUGAAAUACCACCCUGCGUUUGACGGAUAUCUAACUUAGGCCCGUUAUCCGGGUCGGGAACAGUGCCAGGUGGGUAGUUUGACUGGGGCGGUCGCCUCCUAAAAAGUAACGGAGGCGCCCAAAGGUUCCCUCAGUCUGGUUGGCAAUCAGACGUCGAGUGCAAUGGCACAAGGGAGCUUGACUGCGAGACCUACAAGUCGAGCAGGUGCGAAAGCAGGGCAUAGUGAUCCGGCGGUUGCGUGUGGAAGCGCCGUCGCUCAACGGAUAAAAGGUACCCCGGGGAUAACAGGCUUAUCUUCCCCAAGAGUCCAUAUCGACGGGAAGGUUUGGCACCUCGAUGUCGGCUCAUCGCAUCCUGGGGCUGAAGCAGGUCCCAAGGGUUGGGCUGUUCGCCCAUUAAAGCGGUACGCGAGCUGGGUUUAGAACGUCGUGAGACAGUUCGGUCCCUAUCCUCUGCAGCCGGAGGAGAUUUGAGAAAAGCUGUCCCUAGUACGAGAGGACCGGGAUGGACGUAGCUCUAGUGUGCCAGUUGUUCCGCCAGGAGCAUGGCUGGUUGGCCACCUACGGAAGGGAUAACCGCUGAAAGCAUCUAAGUGGGAAGCCCGUUUCAAGAUGAGAUCUCCCACCGGGUUAACCGGGUAAGGCCCGUGGCAGAACACCACGUUGAUAGGCCGGAGGUGUAAGUGCGGCAACGCAUUCAGCCGACCGGUACUAAUCGGCCGAGGGCUUGGUUAC